AAGAAACAGCUCCACACAACUAGGUCGUGGGAUUUCGUGGGGUUUCCCCGACAAGUUAAAAGAACAAGUUUUGAAAGCGACAUUAUCAUAGGAGUGCUUGACGGUGGAAUAUGGCCAGAGUCUGACAGCUUCGAUGAUAAAGGAUUUGGCCCACCGCCAAGGAAAUGGAAGGGCACUUGCCAAGGGUUUUCCAAUUUCACUUGCAACAAGUAAAUCUCACUCGCAACAGAGUGUCUAAAUACCCUGUUAAAAAAGUUUAAAUAUAUCCUAUCCUUGUUCCUUAACAAAACUUUCCACCGAUGUUAUUGCAGUAAAAUUAUUGGAGCCAAGUACUAUAAGAGCGAUAGAAAAUUUAGCCCAGAAGAUUUGCAAUCCCCAAGAGAUUCAGACGGCCACGGGACACACACUGCAUCCACUGCAGCUGGGGGCCUAGUCAACAUGGCAAGUCUCAUGGGCUUUGGCUUAGGAACUGCUCGGGGCGGAGUUCCAUCAGCUCGGAUAGCAGUGUAUAAGAUAUGUUGGUCUGAUGGCUGUGAUGAUGCUGAUAUUCUCGCAGCAUUUGAUGAUGCAAUUGCUGAUGGGGUUGAUAUAAUCUCUUAUUCACUUGGGAAUCCCCCUUCCCGGGAUUAUUUUAAAGAUACUGCUGCAAUCGGUGCUUUUCAUGCAAUGAAAAAUGGGAUACUAACAUCAACUUCUGCUGGUAACGAUGGACCUCGCCUUGUUUCCGUCGUAAAUGUCGCGCCAUGGUCUCUUUCCGUGGCUGCUAGCACCAUAGAUCGGAAGUUCUUGACCGAGGUGCAACUAGGUGACAAGAAGGUUUAUAAGGUGAGUAAACUUGCUCACACUUUGGACUAAUAACCAUCACAUUCAAAUAUCAUUUAUUAAAGAAAUUAGAUUUCAACUACGUGGAUCUGAUUUUUGGAGGUGGAGGUUAUAUCAUUGCCCUUUGUGUAGGGAUUUUCGAUAAACGCAUUUGAGCCCAAUGGCAUGUAUCCUUUGAUUUAUGGUGGGGAUGCCCCGAAUACUAGAGGAGGUUUUAGAGGGAACACAUCCAGGUACUUAUUAUUAAAGAAUGAAAAAUAAUUAAUUGAAAAUGAAAACCGUACGUUAGAAAUCCUGAAUUUUAAAGUGUGUGAUAGAUUACAGGACUUUCAUCACUGAAAUGCAGGUUUUGCGAAAUAAACUCAUUGAACCCAAAUUUAGUGAAGGGUAAAAUUGUCCUUUGCAUUGGGCUUGGCGCUGGGUUUAAAGAAGCAUGGAGUGCAUUCUUGGCAGGUGCCGUUGGGACUGUGAUAGUGGAUGGACUCCGACUCCCCAAAGAUUCCAGCAAUAUUUAUCCCUUGCCUGCAUCUCGCCUUAGUGCAGGAGAUGGUAAAAGAAUUGCCUACUACAUCAGCUCAACAAGGUAUCGAUUAACACAGCUUCCUACUUUUAUUUGGAGAUGACUGUAAAUUAUACAAGUGAUAUGCUUUAGAAUUUGUACGGCAUAUAUGUACUCAGUCUUAGUCUUACUACAUUUAAACAGUAACCCAACUGCAUCGAUUUUGAAGAGUAUUGAGGUUAAGGACACAUUGGCCCCAUAUGUACCCUCCUUCUCAUCAAGGGGUCCAAACAAUAUUACACACGACCUUCUCAAGGUAGCUUAUGCCAUUAUUCUUGAUUUUCUUCUCAUUUAUCCCAUGACAUGUUCAUCUCUAUAUCAUGUAAACCCAACUCAACAUUUUCACCUCCCAUUUGAGAAAACACAGGGGUUUUUUUCUUAAUCUAUGUUGAGAACGGUUACGCAUACCUCAGACCAAAUCACCCUUUUCCUUAGUUCAUAAAGACUUUCUAGAAGCUUGACAUUCAUGAUGACUUUGUGAUCUUACUGCAUGCAGCCAGAUUUAACAGCCCCAGGUGUACACAUUCUGGCUGCCUGGUCACCAAUUUCUCCAAUCUCUCAAAUGAGUGGUGAUAAUCGAGUAGCGCAAUACAAUAUAUUAAGCGGCACGUCAAUGGCUUGUCCACAUGCUACUGGGGCAGCUGCCUACAUCAAGUCAUUUCACCCCACCUGGUCUCCUGCUGCUAUUAAGUCUGCUCUUAUGACUACUGGUAAUGACUGAAUUUUAUUCCCGGCCUUUCAAAUUAUGAAAGAGGUGAUAGUAAUGGAUUUUAGUCCUUUGUGUGUUUUGUAAGCAGCUACUCCCAUGAGCGCUAGAAAAAAUCCGGAAGCCGAAUUUGCAUAUGGUGCAGGCAAUAUUGAUCCUGUAAGGGCUGUGCACCCUGGUUUAGUGUAUGAUGCCGAUGAGAUUGACUUUGUAAAUUUUUUGUGUGGAGAAGGCUAUAGUAUUCAGACUCUACGGAAAGUCACCGGGGAUCAUAGUGUCUGUUCGAAAGCUACGAAUGGAGCCGUUUGGGAUCUAAAUUACCCGUCCUUUGCUCUUUCCAUCCCCUACAAAGAAUCAAUCGCUCGCACGUUCAAAAGGAGUGUCACAAAUGUUGGAUUACCAGUAUCCACAUAUAAAGCAACUGUUAUUGGUGCCCCAAAGGGACUCAAAAUCAACGUUAAACCAAACAUUUUAUCAUUCACAUCCAUCGGGCAGAAACUAUCUUUUGUGUUGAAGGUUGAAGGACGUAUAGUUAAAGACAUGGUCUCUGCUUCGUUAGUGUGGGAUGACGGUUUACAUAAAGUGAGGUCCCCCAUUAUUGUGUAUGCAGUCCAAUAAAAUUCCAAAAGCCUGGUGUUUUGUACCAGAGGCAUCGGAAUUGUGGUAUCUAUCACGUUGAACUAAAUGAUGUGGUAUCUACAUAAGAUGGAAAUAAAUGAUAAUAUUUAGUAUUGGUUGUAUUACCUGUCCAUACGAGCUAUUAGAUCUAGCUCUAAUAGAUCUAAUACCCUUUACAUAUGAAGGUUCGGUCUCAAUACCCUUCUUUCUCCUCUCCCAGCCACUUUUCUCCUAGGCGGCCAGGCCCAUCCUUUCUUUUUGCUCUCCCUAGGCACUUUUCUCCGGGGCCCACCGCACCUUUAUGUGAUACUUUAAGGACGUAGCUUUAUCAUGGUUGAAAUUAUUGCCAAAACAUAUAUAUUUAAAUAGUAGUCAAAUAAAAAUUUCAUAAUUAAUCUAAUUUUAUUCAAAUAUACACUUAAAUAAUAGUCAAAUAAGAACUCCAUGGUUAUUUUCUUUUAAAAAAAAAUCUUUUAUGUAACAAGUUAUUGUUGAAAGUACAUGUAUCAAGUUUCAUGCCUUUUUUUGUUUCUCUUUAUUUUAUUAAUUCAUUAUUUUAAAAAUAUUUUUAUAUAUUUUAAAAUUUUUUCUACAAAUGUACUUACGUAGAAAAAUUGAAAUUAAUUAUAGUUAAAUAUAUUUGUACCAAUCUUCAAGAGGAGUGAAUUAAAUUAAUCUUUAAACAAAUCAACAUACCAUGAAAAUAACCAAAAAAUAUUUUAAAAGAACUUUUGGAAAUAAUUUUUUUUCUAAUUUGGAAAAAAAUUAUAAUUAAAUUUGAAUAAAAAUUAUUUCAUUAAAAAUGUUGUCAUGUGUGAUGUAUCGGACACUCAUGUACUAAGGGGUUUUGGCAUUUUUUUGGUUUCCUUGUCAUGAUUAUUUAUUAAUUUGUAAUUUAAAAAUUCUUUUUAUAAUUUUUUUUACUCUUAAAAGUUAAGAUAAAAGACUCAUACCUCAAUUUUGUUUAUGCACUCUGUAAACAAUACAUUUGUAUUGAUUUUAUGACAUAGGUAUAAAACAUUUUGUUGUGAAUAUGUUACAAAAUACAUAAAAAAGUGUAGUCCUAUAAAUUUAUUUUAAGAUGAUUUUACUUAAUUCUUCAAAAAUGGAAAGACCAUGGUAUUUUCUUUGUAUUCACAAUUAAAAAGAGUGCAUAGGACCCAUGUAAAAGGGAAUACAUUCUCUAUUUUAAAGGAAUGAGUUUCUUCUCCCACACCCAAGAGAAUUUGAUAAUGCGGAAUAAUUUUUACUUGUCAUCCAUGUACAAAACAUUUGUUUCGAUUUGUGAAAGACAUUUUGGGUAUAAGAAAACAAUGUACACCAAAUAAGGACCAUUGUUAUGUUUGCUCUAAUAUAAAAUUCCAAAAUCUUUGUGUUGGUGUGAUAUAAAAUUGCGAUAUCUAUAAAAUUGAAAAUAAAUGUUGUGAUAUAAGUAAGAUGGAAACAAAAGAGAAAAUUGUAAGCCUUUAAUAUUAAGGAAAUUUGGAAUUAAUUUUAAAAUAAAAUGUGUGUCAUUAAUUAUUUGACUAGUUUUUUGUAUAUGGCACGGAGGGGUUGUUUCUCAAUGUAAUACAUUAGUUAUUAAUAGGACAUGUGAAUAUUAGUUGUGGAUUAACACAGCUCCAGGUUGAUAGUGGUAUUAUAAAACUUUCAAAAAAUGACUCAUAAAUGUAGUUUUCCUCUAUUUUAUAUUUUUCUUAAUUUUUCUAAUAAAUAUAUAGACCACAUUACAAAUCAUGUAACAAUACAAUCUCCUACAUAGUUUAAUCAAUGUAAGUCAUAUGCUGAAAAAAAAAUCAAUACUCCUAGUAUAGGAAAUAAUGACUUAUUCAUAAAUAUGAAUCUUAUGCUAUAAUUAAAUCAAAAAUAGAAAUUAAAGAAUAAUAAAGAGACGAAAAAAACACAUGAAUAUAAGGUGAAAAAUCUUUAAGGAGACAAAGAACCAUGGACCAAUCUUAAUUAAUCACAAUAUCUACUAUAAAGGAAAUGUCUGGUUCAAGAUUUUACUUAAUAUACAGCUUCCAAUCCUCUCCAAGGCCAUUUGUUUAGUAUUUUAGGGAUCUUAGCUUUCCACCGUCUCCAUGUGGAACUUUUUUGGAACCCUUUCAAAUAUGAUUUUAGACUCUUUUUGAUAUCCACAGAAAAAUACAUUUAACCGAAACGAGAGUAUGGACAAAAAUAAUGGAAUUAAUGAGUAGUAAAUAAAUCUAUUAAAUAUAUACAAAAAAUGUAUAUAAAAUUAUUUCAUCAAGAUGUUUUCCAUUCUUGGAGAAUUAAGUAAAAUCAUCAAAUAGUGGGUGUUGUAAAAUUUCCUUUCAUCAAAUAGUGGCCUUUCAUUUUUCAGUUUAUAUUUUUAUUAUAUUUUUAAAAAUAAAUCAUUUGAAAUGUCGUGUAAGGAGUAACUCAAGCAUUUGAAAAUAAUGUAUAUUGGACUAUGUAGGUUGAUCAUCAAAUGUGUAUCAUAAGGUUUAAGCAGUUGCAUUUGUAUCUCAAUUGUUGAAAGUGUACAAUAAAGUUUAAAUCAUCAAAGAUGAUGAUGCAAGUAAUAUAAUUAAGUAUAGAUCAAUAAAAUUAAGGUAAAAAACAAUAAAAUCAAAGUGUAAAAUAAUGAGACAAAAUUCGGUAUAAAGAAAUGAAAUUAUAAUUCAAACGUGAUACAACUUGAUUAAUUGUGCUUUUUAAUACUUAUCAUCGAUUUAGUAUUAGAGAGGGGCCUACGAUGAUUAAAAGAGGAGGAUUGAAAGGCUCAGGUAUAUAUACAUGUCCAAAGCACCAGAAUGUGGUCCAUCUAAUGGCAAGAAAAAACUUUUUUCUCUGGUUUCUCCUUCUCAGUCUCAUUUGCACUUUGUUCUGUACCCACAGUACUACAGCAAUAUAGAUCCUGUGAAGGCUGUAGAUCCUGGUCUGGUAUAUGAUGUCGAUGAGAUUGACUAUGUAAAAUUUUUGUGUGGGCAAGGUUAUAGUACUCGGGCUCUAUGGCGUCACUGGGGGUAAUUGUGUCUGUUCUGCCGCUACAAAUGGAACCGUCUGGAAUCUAAAUUACCCUUCCUUUGCUCUUUCCAGCUUCACCAAGGAAUCUGUCACUGGAAUGCAUGGAACCAAAUUAAACCAAUAUUAUCUUUAUACUAGAAAAGCUGGAAUUGGGCUUUGUUGUAACUUCUGUUAUAUUUUUUAAAAUAUUUACGAAAGUACCAUUGCUUUCCUUUCAUAUAUAGGAUGGGAUAAUGGUAAUUAUCAAUUAAAUGCAGGUCGAAAGAUGUAGUAUGACAGCAACGUGUAUUGUUGCCAUUAUGCCACCUAUCAUGAUUUCAUAUAUAGGAAGGCAUCUUCCACAAUUUCAUUGAGCCUCUCUUUUUCCUUUACUUUGUUACUUUCAAAUUAGAACAAUUUACUUGAAUUCAGGCAAUAUGGAUAAAUCACCCGUGGGAGUGACCCAAAUUCUAAUUGCUACACCCGUCAACAUUGACGGAAAAAAUGGUGACGUAUUAUGGGAAUCGUAAUCAACUGUCGGUGGGCUGACGCAACCUUCCCACCCCCCUUUCCUCCAACACGUGAGUCACAUGCUUGAGACCUUCAAUGGCAAAACAAUUAUAUCAUGCACCUUUGGAUGAUAUAAAACAAUUAUAUAAAAGAAUUAUUUUAUAUCUAACACGUACCUUUGGAUGCUAAAGAAAUUUUAUGUCAGAUACAUGUUUUAGUGGUAUUCAAAGGCACAAAAAAGCACAAUUUAUGGGAAUAUAAAAUUUAUUUAAAUAAUUGGAGUGAGAAAAAAAAUGAAAAAUAUUUCUCUGCUAGAAAUUAGGAUUCAACAUUGUUAAAUAGGAUUUUCAGAUGGUAAUUUUACAAAAAAAAGUUGGUAAUAAUACCCUAAAAAUAAAUUGAAGGGCAUUAAUAAUGGGAUGAAAUUCUAAAGAUGAAGUCUAAUGUAAUGAUUGAUUAGGGGUCUCCAAAAAGCCCGCGGCCCGCGGCCCGCUUUAGGCCCGGCCCGGCCCGACGGGCUAAAGCCCGGCCCAAGCCCGCUAGGCCCAAGCCCGGCCCGAGCCCGUUUAUGGGCUGGUCGGGCCGCGGGCCUGGCCCGUAGGCCCGCCCUUAGGCCCGCCUUUAAUUUUUUUUUAAAAAAUAAUAUACUAUAUUUUUAUAUAUAUAUAACUAACUCAUUUUAUAAGUACAAAAGAAAUGUAGCUCAGUUGGUUAGAGCCUUGAAAUUUAAGCUUGAGGGGAGGGGUUCGAAUUCCCUCCUCUUCCUUCCUUUAUUUAAAAGCCAUUUUGGCUUAUUUAAAAAAGCCCGCGGCCCGGCUCGCUGGCCCGGCCCACCCAGCCCGCCCCCCAGCCCGCUAGCCCGCGGGCUCAUAGGCCGGGCCGCGGGCCUAGCAUUUUAGCUCGGCCCGGCCCGGCCCGGCCCGACCCGUUGACCAGUCAACAGGCCCAUAGGCCCGGCCCGAGCUGGGCCGCGGGCCUCUUAUUUACGGCCCGGCCCGCCCCGGCCCGCCCGUUGGAGACCCUUAUGAUUGAUGCUCCAACACACUCUCUCCCUCUGUAUAGUCUUUGAGCUUUAUUCAUAACUUUAACAAAAUUCUUUCUCAAAAGAAGUGACAAUAAUAAUAAAAAAGAUUGAAUUAUUGGAAGGGAUGUAAAGUAGAUGUUGAUGGGCAUAUCUUUUAAUGAAAAAAAGUCUUUGGUAUUAUGGGGGAUGACUGGUGAGUCUUUUGAUUUAUCCGUGCAUUGCUCUUUAUUCUUUUAUCUUUUUAAAUACAAAUUAUUGGAAAUGUCCUGGAAGGUGUAACAUUAGAUUAAAAGAGAAAAAGGAUUGGGAGGCUCAUGUGUAUAUAUGUAUAGAUGUCCAAGCACCACGAAGCGCAUAGCUUACCAUCAUCUAAUGGCAAAACAAAAAAACUCCUUUCUGUGGUUUCUCCUUCUCAGUCUCAUCUGCAGUCUGCUCAGCACCCACAGUACUGCAGCAGCUUCCGAGGAUGAUGUUCGAAAGGCAAGAAACACCCAUCUCUCUCUUGCUUUCUCUUAAUUAAUGGCUUGGUCAAUAUUCCAUGAACCAUACAUGCAUGCGUGGCGGAAAAAUUAAGAUUAAUCUUGCGCUGAAAAUCAUGCUUGGGUAGUGUUAAUAAACUGGAUUUGCAUCAAACAUGUUGUGGAUGCAGGAGUAUAUUGUGUACAUGGGUGCCAAGCCUGCCGGAGAUUUGUCGGCGUCUGCCAUUCACACCAACAUGCUGGAGCAAGUCUUUGGCAGGUCAGAAUUCACCUUUUGUUUUUUUGUUUUUGUUUUUUUAUUUAUUACAUAUAUGGUACCAUUUUCCCCAUGGAAUGCCUUUUCAGUGGUAGGGCAUCAAGUUCUCUAGUUCGCAGUUACAAAAGGAGUUUCAAUGGAUUUGUAGCGAAGCUAACAGAGGAGGAAAUGCAGCAAAUGAAAGGUGCGUAGGUGGGUUUAAAUCUUUCUUUAAUUGAAGUUUCUCAUGCGUGUAAUGGCUACAAAAUUAACUGUAACUUUGGAGUUUCAGGCAUGGACGGGGUGGUCUCGGUUUUCCCUAACGAAAAGAAACAGCUCCACACAACUAGGUCGUGGGAUUUCGUGGGGUUUCCCCGACAAGUUAAAAGAACAAGUUUUGAAAGCGACAUUAUCAUAGGAGUGCUUGACACUGGAAUAUGGCCAGAGUCUGACAGCUUCGAUGAUAAAGGAUUUGGCCCACCGCCAAGGAAAUGGAAGGGCACUUGCCACGGGUUUUCCAAUUUCACUUGCAACAAGUAAAUCUCACUCGCAACAGUGUCUAAAUACCC
Molecule: long non-coding RNA, 8492 nt
Filed under: Vitis vinifera (wine grape)
Lineage: Eukaryota; Viridiplantae; Streptophyta; Magnoliopsida; Vitales; Vitaceae
Description: long non-coding RNA (VVIN_LNC004046)
Source: RNAcentral